AUACCAUGAUGAAGGCAUCUCCUCGGUAACUCCUUGAAUCUUUCCCAUGCAUUACAAAAGCUUUGAUCUUCAAGUUGAUGGAAAGAUGUGAUCUCAUUCCUCAACUU
This is a small nucleolar RNA of 107 nucleotides. It matches the Rfam family "Plant small nucleolar RNA R71". From Rfam's summary of the family: R71 is a member of the C/D box family of snoRNAs containing the C (UGAUGA) and D (CUGA) box motifs. Multiple nearly identical copies of this snoRNA have been identified in Arabidopsis, and it is thought to function as a 2'-O-ribose methylation guide for 18S ribosomal RNA. The record is from Rfam.